Molecule: long non-coding RNA, 1569 nt
Filed under: Mytilus galloprovincialis (Mediterranean mussel)
Lineage: Eukaryota; Metazoa; Mollusca; Bivalvia; Mytilida; Mytilidae
Source: RNAcentral
CCAUGGUAACUUGUUCAAUGUCCAAAAUUGUUUUGUUUUUCUGAAUACCUUGUACCUUUGAUAUUGUUCUGUAAUUUACAAUAUGUAUGAUAACUUUUUAAAUUUGCAGAAUUUUUUGGGCCAAAUAAGGGCCUUAUUGCCCCUACUCCUUUACUCAUCUUGAUAUUUUCACCUUCUUAAAUUGAAUUGAAAAACUUGUCAUAUUUACCCUUCAUAUAUAUUUCCCACUAUAAUAUGUUAUGUUUUUCAAAUUAAAAUAAUAAUAAAAUAAAAAUCCACAAUAACUUCACAAUAAUUAUAAAGGAAAAGAUUACAUUUAUAAUAAUAACCUUAGAAUUAUUUGUCCCCUGUUAUGUAAAUUACCCACAAUUGAAGUCCAAACUUUAUCAAUAAGAACCAAAAUUGCCCUGCAAAGAACACAUAGUAUAAUGUUAACAUUCAGAAGUCUGGCAAGACUGAACCUAAGAAAAAUCUCUAUUGUACAGACUUAGCAGUAUACCAUUGUGAAAUUUAAAACCUGCCACCCCAAGAAAGAAUUUGAAAAUCUUACAUCUAACAAUGGUAACUAAUUUACACAUAGUUUUUAAAAGCAUGAUUGACAAAUUGUUACAGUACUAUCUUCUCCUGUGAAAGUAAACUUGUACAAUUGAUAUUGCUAGCCUAACUAAACGACAGAUUUUUUUGAGAAACUAUUUCUAAUUUAUAAAUAACAUAAUGUGAGCUUCUGUAAUGUGACCGUAUUAUUAUAAUGUUAAGUAGAUAUCCAACAAAUAUUUUGAUUUAUUCAAUCAAAAUGGAUUUAACAAAAGUAUAUCACAUUUAAAUUUCAACUGUUAUUAAAUAAUGUACAUUCCUGGAGUUAAUUUCACAAAAAUACUUACGACUUAGAUUGAUCAUAAGUAUGCUGAAUUGUUCAUGACUUACUACCCAUCUUAAUUGAAAGUUGUUUUGUGAAACUGACUCCGGGCUUAAAAUGUUUUGGUUUGAGCAUUGCUGAUAAAGGUACAUCCAAGAAAAGACUUCAGUUUGCAAUAUUGUAAAUAUAGACACUGCAAUUUCCAAUAGGAACUCACUUUGCGGCUAAAUCUUUGCCACUUUUACUAUGAAGUUUCAAAGGUCUAAAUAAAGGGCUGUACAACAUAUUUUCAACAUUUAUUUACCCUGAACUUCAAAGAGUUUAACCUUAUACUAAAAUUUUAUACAACCCCUUACUCCCACUUUAGGACAUCCUAAGAAACAAAUUUUAGGCGCUACCAUGUUUUUUUAUUCUGUUAAAAUUCCAAAGUUAUGUCACUAUGAGAUGAAUUACAGAUAUCAUGAAUUUACAUAUUGCAACCUAAAGACUCACAAAAUUUACCUAUUUUUUUUUGUUAUCAUUCUAGUAUUUGUUUUUGAUGGAAAGUUGCUUUUUGCUCUAUCAUCAUAUACUUAAGAAAUUAGGUCUUUUGACUUUUAAGACUGUGUUGGUCUAGACACUGAUUAUAUAAAUCCAAAACAAUUAAAACCUAUUUAAUCAUCAAUAAGGACACAAACUUUAAUCCUAAAUAACUUUUAAACAUUAGUACAAUA